GCCUAGCCGCGAUAGUAACGGUUACCCCGCAACAGGAAGUGGGAAAGCUGGCGGGUUUGGUGUGGGGAGGGUCGGCGUGAGGAGUAUGAGUGGAUAGCGCGAAACAGC
This 108-nucleotide unclassified non-coding RNA is filed under the name Chryseobacterium limigenitum. RNAcentral's name for it is "Flavo-1 RNA". Lineage: Bacteria; Pseudomonadati; Bacteroidota; Flavobacteriia; Flavobacteriales; Weeksellaceae. The record is from RNAcentral.